This 424-nucleotide ribosomal RNA is filed under the name Verrucomicrobiota bacterium. RNAcentral's name for it is "Verrucomicrobia bacterium partial 16S ribosomal RNA". It matches the Rfam family "Bacterial small subunit ribosomal RNA", at positions 355 to 776 of the family's 1533-position model. The record is from RNAcentral. Lineage: Bacteria; Pseudomonadati; Verrucomicrobiota.
UGAGGAAUAUUGGUCAAUGGGCGAGAGCCUGAACCAGCCAAGUAGCGUGCAGGAUGACGGCCCUAUGGGUUGUAAACUGCUUUUAUGUGGGGAUAAAGUGCGUGACGUGUCAUGCAUUGCAGGUACCACAUGAAUAAGGACCGGCUAAUUCCGUGCCAGCAGCCGCGGUAAUACGGAAGGUCCGGGCGUUAUCCGGAUUUAUUGGGUUUAAAGGGAGCGUAGGCUGUCUAUUAAGCGUGUUGUGAAAUUUACCGGCUCAACCGGUGGCUUGCAGCGCGAACUGGUCGACUUGAAGGCGCACAACGUAGGCGGAAUUCAUGGUGUAGCGGUGAAAUGCUUAGAUAUCAUGAAGAACACCGAUUGCGAAGGCAGCUUACGGGAGCGCAACUGACGCUGAAGCUCGAAGGUGCGGGUAUCGAACAGG